This 274-nucleotide ribosomal RNA is filed under the name uncultured bacterium. RNAcentral's name for it is "partial 16S ribosomal RNA". It matches the Rfam family "Bacterial small subunit ribosomal RNA", at positions 523 to 796 of the family's 1533-position model. The record is from RNAcentral.
AUACGGAGGGUGCGAGCGUUAAUCGGAAUUACUGGGCGUAAAGCGUACGUAGGCGGUUUGCUAAGUCAGAUGUGAAAGCCCCGGGCUUAACCUGGGAACUGCAUUUGAUACUGGCAGACUAUAGUAUGAUAGAGGGGGGUAGAAUUCCUGGUGUAGCGGUGAAAUGCGUAGAUAUCAGGAGGAAUACCAGUGGCGAAGGCGGCCCCCUGGAUCAAUACUGACGCUGAGGUACGAAAGCGUGGGGAGCGAACAGGAUUAGAAACCCUAGUAGUCC